AGAGUUUGAUCCUGGCUCAGGACGAACGCUGGCGGCGGGCCUAACACAUGCAAGUUGCAGGAGAAUCCCGACACUUCGGUGUUGGGAGGAGACUGGCGCACGGGUGAGUAACGCGUAGACAAUCUGCCUAUAACAGGGGGAUAACCACGGGAAACCGUGGCUAAUACCCCAUGAUGCAGCGGCCCCGCAUGGGGACAGUUGUUAAACUUUUCGGGGCAACCCGGAGGGGGUUAUAGAUGAGUCUGCGUGCCAUUAGUUAGUUGGUAGGGUAAUGGCCUACCAAGGCGAUGAUGGCUAGGGGGUCUGAGAGGAUGAUCCCCCACACUGGGACUGAGACACGGCCCAGACUCCUACGGGAGGCAGCAGUGAGGAAUCUUGCGCAAUGGGGGCAACCCUGACGCAGCCACGCCGCGUGCUGGAAGAAGGUCCUAUGGAUUGUAAACAGCUUUUAUUCGGGAAGAAAGUAUGGGUUUCGACUUGUAUUGACGGUACCGUUUGAAUAAGCACCGGCUAACUCCGUGCCAGCAGCCGCGGUAAUACGGAGGGUGCAAGCGUUGUCCGGAAUCAUUGGGUGUAAAGGGUGCGCAGGCGGGCAUCUAAGUCUAAGGUGAAAUCUUGCCGCUUAACGGUAAAAUGGCCUUGGAUACUGGGUGUCUUGAAUCUAGUAGAGGUUGGUGGAAUCCGUGGUGUAGCGGUGAAAUGCAUAGAUAUCACGAAGAACAUCAGUGGCGAAGGCGGCCAACUGGGCUAGUAUUGACGCUGAGGCACGAGAGCGUGGGGAGCGAACAGGAUUAGAUACCCUGGUAGUCCACGCCGUAAACGAUGUGUGCUAGUUGUUGGUCUUUACCGAUCAGUGACGCAGUUAACGCAGUAAGCACACCACCUGGGGAGUACGUUCGCAAGAAUGAAACUCAAAGGAAUUGACGGGGGCCCGCACAAGCGGUGGAGCAUGUGGCUUAAUUCGAUGCAACGCGAAGAACCUUACCUGGGCUAAAUCCGCCCUGACCGCUCCGGAAACGGGGUUUCCCUUCGGGGCAGGGUGGAAGGUGCUGCAUGGCUGUCGUCAGCUCGUGCCGUGAGGUGUUGCCUUAAGUGGCGCAACGAGCGCAACCCCUGUGGUUAGUUACCAGCACGUUAUGGUGGGGACUCUAGCCAGACUGCCUACGCAAGUAGUGAGGAAGGUGGGGAUGACGUCAAGUCAUCAUGGCCCUUACGUCCAGGGCUGCACACGUGCUACAAUGGAUGGUACAAUGGGAAGCCACCCGGCAACGGGGCGCAGAUCCAUAAAGCCAUUCUCAGUUCGGAUUGGAGUCUGCAACUCGACUCCAUGAAGGUGGAAUCGCUAGUAAUCGCGUAUCAGCAACGACGCGGUGAAUACGUUCCCGGGCCUUGUACACACCGCCCGUCAAGCGAUGGAAGUCAGGAGUACCUAAAGUCGCCAUGCAAGUGUUGCCUAGGGUAAGCCUGGUGACUGGCGCUAAGUCGUAACAAGGUAACC
RNAcentral lists this ribosomal RNA (1498 nucleotides) under uncultured bacterium. Its description in RNAcentral is "bacterial SSU rRNA". It matches the Rfam family "Bacterial small subunit ribosomal RNA". The record is from RNAcentral.